Molecule: ribosomal RNA, 450 nt
Filed under: Triticum aestivum (bread wheat)
Lineage: Eukaryota; Viridiplantae; Streptophyta; Magnoliopsida; Poales; Poaceae
Description: partial small subunit ribosomal RNA
Source: RNAcentral
AUGGCAUCUUCUACUCUGAAACCAGGUGUGCCUGUCACUCUGCAAGAGCUAGCGCCCUCCUCGGAGAUGUUCAAGCAAGGGGCGUCCCUCCGGGUAACAGGAAUGUAUGUCUGCCGGUUACUUUUAUUUCUCCUCAAAACUACAAGUUUUAACCGUGCUAGCCUUCUUGUCUUGCAAUUCUCUAGCCUUCAGUCAUACGAUGUGGACUCUGCGAUUGCUGUCAUUCGAGAUGGCAGCGCGACGCUGAAGGUCGACGCCCAGCACCUGCGGGACAUCAGUUUCCGCAGCGGUUCUAUGUUCCAGUUCAUUGGUGAGCUCCUGAUCCGGCCGAACGAUGACGCGAUUCUGCAAGCACGUAACGUCGAUGGCCUUGACCUGAACCUUUACCAGCAGUCUCUCAUCAUCCGACGGCAGCAUGAAGCCAGACUGCUGAGCUCCAGGAGCGCGUGA